UUAAAUGUCAGUCUUAGUUUCACAGAAGACAUGUUGAACAGAAGUUCGCGGAUCAUCUCCGGCAGCGCGUUUAUUUGCCUGCUGUUGUGCAAUUCCAGAGUUCUGGCAGAGUCCGAUGGGAAUCUGGCUACUCGUCGUGUGGUGAAUGGGAUACUGGGACAGUCAAUCACUUUACAAGUACACGUGCCAGGAGAAAGCAUUACAGCCAUUACUUGGGAUUACAUGAAUUCAACUAAUCAAAAAAAGGUUAAAUUAUGUGAGAAAUAUCCAAACAAUCCAAUAAAAUGUUACAGACAGAGGAUCACGUUAAACCCGGAGGACUAUAGCCUGGAAAUACAGAACCUAACAGACAGUGACAAAGGUCUGUAUGAAAUAAAUCCAAGGACCAGUGCAGAUGUCCAUGAAGAAGUGGUGGUGGAACUGCAAAUUUAUGAACGUGUAUCAACACCCAUAAUAAUUAGCAACCAAGUUGACUUAGAUGAGGUAUGUAACAUCAGUUUGCACUGUUUACUGGAGCGUGGCUCGGAGCCAGUUUACACUUGGUGGACAGGAGAUGAUGAGGUCAUGGCCGAUGAGUCACAUGUACUGACUGACGGAGGGAGAAGACUGGAAUUGUCCUUAAGGCUGAAUGAUAACAACACAGUGUACAACUGCACAGUGAGGAACCCUGUCAGUGAGGCAACUACGAGUGUGGAUCUCAGAAAGAUCUGUCUGGUCACUGAAGGUCAAAAGCCAAUGAGGCCACUCCACAUUGGUUUAAUUACUGCUGCUGUUCUAAUACUUUCCAUCAUGGCUAUCGCUUUCGUGAUGUGUUUGAAGAAGAAAGAAGAUCCCAAGUUCAAUGAAGCCGCUAACACUGAAAGGAGAAGUGAAUCAGUGCUGUAUGCUGUGAUCAGGAGAGCAAACAUUGCCAGGGACCAGAGAGUGUGUGAAAAUGGAAGUGGGACAGCCAUUUUCUACAGACAGCGCAGGAUAGAAGAAGGAGAAUGAAAAUGGACAAUGAGCAUCAGAGAAGAACAUUGUGAAAUGCUCACAGAACCCAUUGGAAGGACAGACACCACUGUCAGAAAAUCCUCAUGCAGACAAUGGUCUCACAGAGAAUGUGCAGGCCUUUCAACAUUCAAAAGAUUCCCCAUCUGAGAUCCAACAUCCACUGCAAUCCGUUUAUCUAUCCUACUCCUCAAAGAAUUCCAACAGGUUAGUCAGGCAGGAUGUUCCCUGAAGAAAAUCAUGCUGACUUUGUACUACCUUGUCCUGUGUCACCUCAUCCUUAUAUUACGAAUGUGAAACAACUCUGAGGGGCCGAAGGGUACAAAGUCGCUCCCUCCUUUUUGAGAAUCGCAAGAUCGCUAUUAUUUCGGAUCUGAGACCCAGGAAAUGAGAGAGAGACAUCCAGAAUACACAAGGUUUGGAAUGUGUCCUGACCUCAGCGGAACGGAACCACUGAUAAUGGCCAUUGUCUCUUGGAGAAGGAAUUGUGUAUUGAGUACCGUACUAUUCAUUGAAACCUCUCAGGGGACAACCAGAGUGGUCUGGUUGAGGGAUUGCAUCAACCCAACCUAAUUGACAUCUGACACCCCGUGAGUGAGGAUAAAAGAGGGGUCUGGGGAACAACCCCUUCAGACGCACCAGGAGAAACGCUAGAAAUCCCGUGACAGCGUUUUAUAGCGAAAGCCGGUGGGGGCUUGUGUGCGUCCUCCCUUGCCUGGGGUGGCAGGCUCACCACGGAAGAACGGUUUAGCUAAAGGAGAGGUCACAAUUGAACAGCCAUGACAACGAGACUCCUGACGGAUCGAAAUCAUAAAUAGAAAAGCCGGCAAGUUUUUCUCCCAAAUCUCUCUCUCCCCCCAACCAUUGCAACCCAGUGGUCCCCAAUGGCUGCAGCCUGCAUGAACUGAGUGAACUUUAUAUUUCCAUCGGACAAUACAUUAUCCCCUAGACAACAAUAGAGCUUGUUUCUUAUUGAUUAUUAUUAUACCUGCACUUUUAGAUUUAGUAUUGACGAUGUAUAUUAUCUGUAUAUUUGCAUUGAUAUUAUUUUUGUGUAUUUUUACUAAUAAAUACUGUUAAAAAUAGUAUCAUCAGACUUCAACAGACAUCUCUAUCUUUGCUGGUAAGUGACCCAGUUACGGGGUUCGUAACACUUAACAACUAACAUGUUCUCAACCACUGAGGUCAGGCUCCAACUUCCUUUCUGCUGCCUUCCUCCUUUCUCAAAGAGUAGAGUGAUACUUGCAGUUUUCCAAUCCUCUGGCACCAUGGCAGAGUCCAAUGAUUUUUGAAAGAUCAUUUCUAACGCUGCCACAAUCUCUAAUGCUACUUCUUUCAGAACGCUAGGGUGCAGUUCCUCUGGUCCAGGUUUCUUAUGUACCUUUAGAUCUUUCAACUUUUUGAGCACCUUCUCUCUUGAAAUAGUAACUGCACCCACUUCUCUUCCUUCACACACUACAACAUCAAGCAUACUGCUAGUGUCUUCCACAGUGAAGACUUUAGAAAAAUACUCUUUUAGUUCAUCAGCCAUCUCCUUGUCCGUUAUUAUUUCUCCUGCCUCAUUUUCUGGUGGUCCUAUAUCCACUCUCAUUUCUCUUUUAUUUUUAACAUAUUUGAAAAAGCUUUUACUAUCCACUUUGAUAUUAUUUGCUAGCUUGCUUUCAUAUUUCAUCUUUUCCCUUUCUAUGAUUUUUUUAGUUGCUCUCUGAACGUUUUUAAAAACGUCCCCAAUCCUCUAUCUUCCCACAAAUUUUUGCUUUGUUGUGUGCCCGUUCUUGUGUUUUUACACAACUUCCCUGUCAGCCAUGGUUGUACUAUUUAACCAUUUGAGUACUCGUGGAAUACAUGCCCUGCACCUUCCUCAUUUUUCCCAGAAAUGCAAACCAUUGUUGCUUUGCUGUCAUCGCUGCCACUCCUCAUACCACUGUAAUUUCCCUUACUCCACUGAAAUACUGCUACUCCAGCCUUUACUUUCUCCCUAUGAAAUUUCAGGUUGAACUUAAUCAUAUUGUGAUCACUGGUUCCUAAGAGUUCGUUUGCCCUAAGCUCCCUAAUCGCCUCCAGUUCAUUGCACCUGAACUGGAAGGGGAACUAUCAUCCUUGUGGGAAGGUUUGCUGGUGCUGCUCCAGGGGGGUUUAAACUAGAUUUGCAGGGGUAGGGGAACCAGUGUUAGAGCAGAUGGUGAGGUGGAAGAGGAUAAAGGUCAUGCAAGAGCUGCAAGAUUAUUGCAUGGAGUAAAGCCAGAUCUAACAUAUAAGGAAGCUUUGAGGAAAGAAAUAGAAUAAAGGGUGUAAGGAUAGUAAGGCAGAAGGGCUAAAGUGUGUGCACUUCAAUGCAAGAAGCAUCAGGAACAAAGGUGAUGAACUGAGAGCUUGGAUACAUACAUGGAAUUAUGAUGUAAUGGCCAUUACAGAGACUUGGCUGACACCAGGGUAGGAAUGGAUUCUCAAUAUUCCUGGAUUUCAGUGCUUUAAAAGUGAUGGGGAGGGGGGGGAGGGGUUAGCAGCAGAGAUACCAAGGAGCAGAUUGGGAGGCAGAUUUUGGAAAGAUACAAAGGGUUGUUAUCAUGAGUGACUUUAACUUCCCUAAUAUUGAUUGGCACCUGAUUAGUUCCAAUGGUUUAGAUGGGGCAGAGUUUGUUAAGUGCGUCCAGGAGAGUUUCCUGUCACAGUAUGUUGACAGGCUGACCCUAUAGGGGGAAUGCCAUACCAGAUCUAGUAUUAGGUAAUGAACCGGGUCAGGUUACAGUGGGUAGCAUCAGGCGGACAGCGAUCACCGCUCCCUGGCCUUCAACAUUAUCAUGGAAAAGGGUAGAAUCAGAGAGGACAGGAAAAUUUUUAAUUAGGGAAGGGCAAAUUAUGAGGCUAUAAGGCUAGAACUUGCGGGCUUGAAUUGGGAUGAUGUUUUUGCAGGGAAAUGUACUAUGCACAUGUGGUCAAUGUUUAGGGAUCUCUUGCAGGAUGUCAGAGAUAAAUUUGUCUGGGUUUCGGGCCAAGACCCUUCGUCAGGACCUGACGUCGACAGUGCUUCUCCUUAUAGAUGCUGCUUGGCCUGCUGUGUUCCACCAGCAUUUUGUGUGUGUUAUUUAAUAAUGCUGAUCCUUUUUUUAAUCCUCCAGCCUUCUCCCUGUAACCUUUGAUGCUAUGUCCAAUCAAGAACCUAUCAACCUAGCUGCCACAGCUACAUGUGGUAAAAAAUAAUUAUGAGUCCCAUUUUCCUACAGAAUUUUGCCGUGUUCCUCGCAAUCUGUUCCUUAUGGAGUUUUAAAGUCAGUACAAUACUGAGGCCCCUCUUCAAAUUAUUUUCUUGGGUUUCUGUGGGAAUAAAUGCAAGGGGGGUUUACGAGGGUUUCUCCCAGUAGCAGACCCUGCCUCUAUCAGCUUUGUCUCUGCUGUAGUUUAAAUACUGCAUCCAGUAAGGAGAGGAUACCAUUUUUAGUUUCUGGUUUUGGCUCUAGCUUUUCCAGGAUAGUAGGGGCUUGAAUGAAUUUGGCUCCAGGGUAGCUGUCCAAUUGAAGAUGAUUAGGGUAUCUUGUAAUCCUGAAAAUAUUAACAUCCCCUAUAAUUAGUAUAAGUUUAAGGGGCCUUAAUUCCCAUUUUACAUUUUUCUGUUGAGAGUUAGGUUGCCUAGUUAUUUGACCACCUUCUUGUCUAUUGUUACAAAAACCUGUUCUUGUCUGUUCCUUGUCCUGCAACUCAGCAUGUUGGAGUUCCAUUCCAGCAGCCUCUUGAAGUUUGUGUGUUCUUCUUUUCGAAACACAGAAAACCUACAGCACAAUACAGGCCCUUUGGCCCACAAAGUUGUGCCAAACAUGUCCCUACCUAGGUUUACCCAUAUCCCUCUUUUUUUCUAAGCUCCAUGUACCUAUCCCGGAGUCUCUUAAAAGACCCUAUCGUAUCAGCCUCCUCCACCUUUGCUGGCAGCCCAUUCAUUCCACACACUCACCAUUCUGCCAUCAUAUUCGACCUACCAAAAUGAACCACUUUCACACUUAUCUGGGAUGAACUCCAUCUGCCACUUCUCAACCCAGUUUUGCAUCCUAUCAAUGUCCCGUUGUAACCUCUGACAGCCCUCCACACUUUCCACAACACCCACAACCUUUGUGUCAUCAGCAAACUUACUAACCCAUCUCUCUGCUUCCUCAUCCAGGUCAUUUAUAAAAAUCACAAGGAGUAAGGAUCCCAGAAAAAAUCCCUGAGGCACACCACUGUUCACCGACCUCCAUGCAGAGUAUGACCCAUCUACAACCACUCUUUGCCUUCUGUUGGCAAGCCUGUUCUGGAUCCACAAAACAAUGUCCCCUUGGAUCCCAUGCCUCCUUAUUUUCUCAGUAAACCUUGCAAAGGUUACCUUAUCAAAUGCCUUGCUGAAAUCCAUAUACACUACAUCUACAGCUUUUCCCUCAUCAAUGUGUUUAGUCACAUCCUCAAAAAAUUCAAUCAGGCGUGUAAGGCACCACAUGCCUCUGACAAAGCCAUGCUGACUAUUCCUAAUCAUAUUAUAUCUCUCCAAAUGUUCAUAAAUCCUACCUCUCAGGAUCUUCUCCAUCAACUUACCAACCACUGAAGUAAGACUAAACUGGUCUAUAAUUUUCUGGGCUAUCUCUAUUCCCUUUCUUGAAUAAUGGAGCAACAUCUGCAACCCUCCAAUCCUCCGGAACCUCUCCUGUCCCCACUGAUGAUGCAAAGAUCAUUGCCAGAGGCUCAGCAAUCUCCUCUCUCGCUUCCCACAAUAGCCUGGGGUACAUCUCAUCCAGUCCUGGUGACUUAUCCAACUUGAAGCUUUCCAAAAGCUCCAGCACAUCCUCUUUUUUAAUAUCUACAUGCUCAAGCUUUUCGGUCCGCUGCAAAUCAUCACUGCAAUCACCAAGAUCGUUUUCUAUAAUGAAUACUGAAGUAUUUAUUAAGUAUCUCUAUUUCCUCUGGUUCCAUACACACUUUCCCACUGUCACAUUUGAUAGGUCCUAUUCUUUCACGUCUUAUCCUCCUGCUCUUCACAUACUUGUAGAAUGCUGUGGGGGUGUUCCUUAAUCCUGCCUGCCAAGGCCUUCUCAUGGCCCCCUUCUGGCUCUCCUAAUUUCCUUCUUAAGAUCCUUUGAGUGCAAAGGUUUGCUCUGGGCUCUUGGGUUUCCUCCUAUAGUCCAAAGACACUGUAAGUUGUCCUGUGACAGGGUUCAAAAGGUGGGUUGCUGUGUGGUGUGGCUCAUUGGACGGGAAAUGUCUGUUCUGCGCUGCAUCUCGAAAUAAGCUCUUUUGGUCCAAUCUAACCAUACAACUAAAAUCGCUCAUUCCAUCUAGUUUAUUUGUUAAUAUUAUGUUAACAUUUUAUGUACUGUAUGUGAUAUAUUCAGUGUUUUGCACCUCAGUUUCUGAGGAACUGUGUUUCAUUUAGCUGUAUACAUGUGUAAGGAUGAAUGACAAUAAACUCAAACUGCAAACU
RNA transcript from Hypanus sabinus (Atlantic stingray), 6430 nucleotides. It is a transcript of the gene named SLAM family member 9-like, with no coding region annotated. The record is from RefSeq and is a predicted model, not a curated record. The transcript has 7 exons. Lineage: Eukaryota; Metazoa; Chordata; Chondrichthyes; Myliobatiformes; Dasyatidae.